RNAcentral lists this ribosomal RNA (367 nucleotides) under uncultured Paracoccaceae bacterium. RNAcentral describes it as "uncultured Rhodobacteraceae bacterium partial 16S ribosomal RNA". It matches the Rfam family "Bacterial small subunit ribosomal RNA", at positions 348 to 732 of the family's 1533-position model. The record is from RNAcentral. Lineage: Bacteria; Pseudomonadati; Pseudomonadota; Alphaproteobacteria; Rhodobacterales; Paracoccaceae.
GCAGCAGUGGGGAAUCUUAGACAAUGGGNGCAAGCCUGAUCUAGCCAUGCCGCGUGAGUGAUGAAGGCCUUAGGGUUGUAAAGCUCUUUCACCNGGGANGAUAAUGACGGUACCNNNAGAAGAAGCCCCGGCUAACUCCGUGCCAGCAGCCGCGGUAAUACGGAGGGGGCNAGCGUUGUUCGGAAUUACUGGGCGUAAAGCGCACGUAGGCGGAUCAGAAAGUCNGAGGUGAAAUCCCNGGGCUCAACCCNGGAACUGCCUUNGAAACUCNUGGUCUNGAGUNCGNGAGAGGUGAGUGGAAUUCCGAGUGUAGAGGUGAAAUUCGUAGAUAUUCGGAGGAACACCAGUGGCGAAGGCGGCUCNCUGG